This 1052-nucleotide ribosomal RNA is filed under the name uncultured bacterium. Its description in RNAcentral is "bacterial SSU rRNA". It matches the Rfam family "Bacterial small subunit ribosomal RNA", at positions 344 to 1389 of the family's 1533-position model. The record is from RNAcentral.
GGAGGCAGCAGUGGGGAAUUUUGGACAAUGGGGGCAACCCUGAUCCAGCCAUUCCGCGUGAGUGAAGAAGGCCUUCGGGUUGUAAAGCUCUUUUGUCCGGAACGAAACGGGCGACGUGAAUAUCGUCGUCUACUGACGGUACCGGAAGAAUAAGCACCGGCUAACUACGUGCCAGCAGCCGCGGUAAUACGUAGGGUGCGAGCGUUAAUCGGAACUACUGGGCGUAAAGCGUGCGCAGGCGGUUUUGUAAGCCAGAUGUGAAAUCCCCGGGCUUAACCUGGGAAUGGCAUUUGGGACUGCAAGGCUCGAGUGCGGCAGAGGAGACUGGAAUUCCUGGUGUAGCAGUGAAAUGCGUAGAUAUCAGGAGGAACACCGAUGGCGAAGGCAGGUCUCUGGGCUGACACUGACGCUCAUGCACGAAAGCGUGGGGAGCAAACAGGAUUAGAUACCCUGGUAGUCCACGCCCUAAACGAUGUCGACUGGUUGUUGGGGGUUUGACACUCUCAGUAACGAAGCUAACGCGUGAAGUCGACCGCCUGGGGAGUACGGCCGCAAGGUUAAAACUCAAAGGAAUUGACGGGGACCCGCACAAGCGGUGGAUUAUGUGGAUUAAUUCGAUGCAACGCGAAAAACCUUACCUACCCUUGACAUGUCCGGAAGGCUGCUGAAAGGCGGCUGUGCCCGAAAGGGAACUGGAGCACAGGUGCUGCAUGGCUGUCGUCAGCUCGUGUCGUGAGAUGUUGGGUUAAGUCCCGCAACGAGCGCAACCCUUGUCAUUAGUUGCUACAUUCAGUUGGGCACUCUAAUGAGACUGCCGGUGACAAACCGGAGGAAGGUGGGGAUGACGUCAAGUCCUCAUGGCCCUUAUGGGUAGGGCUUCACACGUAAUACAAUGGCGCGUACAGAGGGCUGCUAAGCCGCGAGGUAGAGCCAAUCCCUUAAAGCGCGUCGUAGUCCGGAUUGCAGUCUGCAACUCGACUGCAUGAAGUCGGAAUCGCUAGUAAUCGCGGAUCAGCAUGUCGCGGUGAAUACUUUCCCGGGCCUUGUACACA